Molecule: long non-coding RNA, 225 nt
Filed under: Vigna radiata
Lineage: Eukaryota; Viridiplantae; Streptophyta; Magnoliopsida; Fabales; Fabaceae
Description: long non-coding RNA (VRAD_LNC017772)
Source: RNAcentral
AAUGAAUCUAUGUGUGAUUAUGUGUAUGUGUGUGAGGCAGUAAAUGUGUAUUUGUAUGUGUAUUUAUAUUUGUAUAUUUUGUGUAUGUGUGUUAUAUAUUGAUGUGUAGUAUGUGUAAUAUAUAUGCGUCUGUGUUUGUGAGUGAAUCUGUGUGUGUAUCUUAGAUAUGUGUGUGCAUGUUUGUGUAUUUGUAUGUGUAUUAGUAUAUAUCAAUGUGUGUGUGCG